RNAcentral lists this ribosomal RNA (301 nucleotides) under uncultured bacterium. Its description in RNAcentral is "partial 16S ribosomal RNA". It matches the Rfam family "Bacterial small subunit ribosomal RNA", at positions 509 to 809 of the family's 1533-position model. The record is from RNAcentral.
CAGUCGCCGCGGUAAUACGAGGGGGGCAAGCGUUGUUCGGAAUUAUUGGGCGUAAAGGGUGCGUAGGCGGUUCAGCAAGUCUCGUGUGAAAUCUUCGGGCUCAACCCGAAGUCUGCACGGGAAACUACUGGGCUUGAGUAAUGGAGAGGUGAGUGGAAUUUCCGGUGUAGCGGUGAAAUGCGUAGAUAUCGGAAGGAACACCUGUGGUGAAAGCGGCUCACUGGACAUUUACUGACGCUGAUGCACGAAAGCUAGGGGAGCAAACAGGAUUAGAUACCCCCGUAGUCCCUGUCUCUUAUAU